Molecule: ribosomal RNA, 322 nt
Filed under: Aeromonas hydrophila
Lineage: Bacteria; Pseudomonadati; Pseudomonadota; Gammaproteobacteria; Aeromonadales; Aeromonadaceae
Description: bacterial SSU rRNA
Rfam family: Bacterial small subunit ribosomal RNA
Source: RNAcentral
GGGAGACUGCCGUUGAUAAACCGGAGGAAGGUGGGGAUGACGUCAAGUCAUCAUGGCCCUUACCUCCAGGGCUACACACGUGCUACAAUGGCGCGUACAGAGGGCUGCAAGCUAGCGAUAGUGAGCGAAUCCCAAAAAGCGCGUCGUAGUCCGGAUCGGAGUCUGCAACUCGACUCCGUGAAGUCGGAAUCGGUAGUAAUCGCAAAUCGGAAUGUUGCGGUGAAUACGUUCCCGGGCCUUGCUCACACAAACCCGUCACACCAUGGGAGUGGGUUGCACCAGAAGUAGUUAGCUUUAACUUUUCCGCGUAGGUUCUUUUUAU